RNAcentral lists this ribosomal RNA (570 nucleotides) under uncultured Bacteroidales bacterium. RNAcentral describes it as "bacterial SSU rRNA". It matches the Rfam family "Bacterial small subunit ribosomal RNA", at positions 171 to 742 of the family's 1533-position model. The record is from RNAcentral. Lineage: Bacteria; Pseudomonadati; Bacteroidota; Bacteroidia; Bacteroidales.
AGAUGGCAUCAUGAGUCCGCAUGUUCACAUGAUUAAAGGUAUUCCGGUAGACGAUGGGGAUGCGUUCCAUUAGAUAGUAGGCGGGGUACGGCCCACCUAGUCUUCGAUGGAUAGGGGUUCUGAGAGGAAGGUCCCCCACAUUGGAACUGAGACACGGUCCAAACUCCUACGGGAGGCAACAGUGAGGAAUAUUGGUCAAUGGGCGAGAGCCUGAACCAGCCAAGUAGCGUGAAGGAUGACUGCCCUAUGGGUUGUAAACUUCUUUUAUAAAGGAAUAAAGUCGGGUAUGGAUACCCGUUUGCAUGUACUUUAUGAAUAAGGAUCGGCUAACUCCGUGCCAGCAGCCGCGGUAAUACGGAGGAUCCGAGCGUUAUCCGGAUUUAUUGGGUUUAAAGGGAGCGUAGAUGGAUGUUUAAGUCAGUUGUGAAAGUUUGCGGCUCAACCGUAAAAUUGCAGUUGAUACUGGAUAUCUUGAGUGCAGUUGAGGCAGGCGGAAUUCGUGGUGUAGCGGUGAAUGCUUAGAUAUCACGAAGACUCCGAUUGCGAAGGCAGCCUGCUAAGCUGCAACUG